GAUGAACGCUAGCGAUAGGCUUAACACAUGCAAGUCGAGGGGCAGCAUGGUCUUAGCUUGCUAAGGCUGAUGGCGACCGGCGCACGGGUGCGUAACGCGUAUGCAACUUGCCUCACAGAGGGGGAUAACCCGUCAAAAGACGGACUAAUACCGCGUACACUCUAUGUUGGGCAUCCAAUGUAGAGGAAAUGAAAUUCGCUGUGAGAUAGGCAUGCGUCCCAUUAGCUAGUUGGUGAGGUAACGGCUCACCAAGGCGACGAUGGGUAGGGGAACUGAGAGGUUGAACCCCCACACUGGUACUGAGACACGGACCAGACUCCUACGGGAGGCAGCAGUGAGGAAUAUUGGUCAAUGGGCGAGAGCCUGAACCAGCCAAGUCGCGUGAAGGAUGACUGUCUUAUGGAUUGUAAACUUCUUUUAUACGGGAAUAACAAGAGUCACGUGUGGCUCCCUGCAUGUACCGUAUGAAUAAGCAUCGGCUAACUCCGUG
This 490-nucleotide ribosomal RNA is filed under the name uncultured bacterium. RNAcentral's name for it is "partial 16S ribosomal RNA". It matches the Rfam family "Bacterial small subunit ribosomal RNA", at positions 28 to 507 of the family's 1533-position model. The record is from RNAcentral.